Molecule: ribosomal RNA, 253 nt
Filed under: uncultured bacterium
Lineage: Bacteria
Description: partial 16S ribosomal RNA
Rfam family: Archaeal small subunit ribosomal RNA
Source: RNAcentral
UACCAGCACCCCGAGUGGUCGGGACGUUUAUUGGGCCUAAAGCAUCCGUAGCCGGUUCUACGAGUCUUCCGUUAAAUCCAACUGCUUAACAGGUGGGCUGCGGAAGAUACUAUAGAGCUAGGAGGCGGGAGAGGCAAGCGGUACUCGAUGGGUAGGGGUAAAAUCCGUUGAUCCAUUGAAGACCACCAGUGGCGAAGGCGGCUUGCCAGAACGCGCUCGACGGUGAGGAGCGAAAGCGUGGGGAGCGAACAGG